This 459-nucleotide ribosomal RNA is filed under the name uncultured bacterium. RNAcentral's name for it is "partial 16S ribosomal RNA". It matches the Rfam family "Bacterial small subunit ribosomal RNA", at positions 28 to 523 of the family's 1533-position model. The record is from RNAcentral.
GAUGAACGCUGGCGGCGUGCCUAAUACAUGCAAGUCGAGCGGUAAGGCUUCUUCGGAAGUACACGAGCGGCGGACGGCUGAGUAAUGCAUAGGAACGUACCCCAAACUGAGGGAUAAGCCACCGAAAGGUGGUCUAAUACCGCAUGUGCUCUUCGGAGUAAAGCUACGGCGGUUUGGGAGCGGCCUCUGUUCGAUUAGCUUGUUGGUGAGGUAAUGGCUCACCAAGGCGACGAUCGAUAGCGGGUCUGAGAGGAUGAUCCGCCAGACUGGAACUGAGACACGGUCCAGACUCCUACGGGAGGCAGCAGUAGGGAAUUUUCCACAAUGGGGGCAACCCUGAUGGAGCAACGCCGCGUGCAGGAUGAAGGCCUUCGGGUUGUAAACUGCUUUUCUCUGUGAUGAUUAUGACAGUAGCAGAGGAAUAAGGAUCGGCUAACUCCGUGCCAGCAGCCGCGGUAA